UGCAGUCGAGCGGUAGCACAGAGAGCUUGCUCUCGGGUGACGAGCGGCGGACGGGUGAGUAAUGUCUGGGAAACUGCCUGAUGGAGGGGGAUAACUACUGGAAACGGUAGCUAAUACCGCAUAACGUCGCAAGACCAAAGUGGGGGACCUUCGGGCCUCAUGCCAUCAGAUGUGCCCAGAUGGGAUUAGCUAGUAGGUGGGGUAACGGCUCACCUAGGCGACGAUCCCUAGCUGGUCUGAGAGGAUGACCAGCCACACUGGAACUGAGACACGGUCCAGACUCCUACGGGAGGCAGCAGUGGGGAAUAUUGCACAAUGGGCGCAAGCCUGAUGCAGCCAUGCCGCGUGUGUGAAGAAGGCCUUCGGGUUGUAAAGCACUUUCAGCGGGGAGGAAGGCGGUGAGGUUAAUAACCUUGUCGAUUGACGUUACCCGCAGAAGAAGCACCGGCUAACUCCGUGCCAGCAGCCGCGGUAAUACGGAGGGUGCAAGCGUUAAUCGGAAUUACUGGGCGUAAAGCGCACGCAGGCGGUCUGUCAAGUCGGAUGUGAAAUCCCCGGGCUCAACCUGGGAACUGCAUUCGAAACUGGCAGGCUAGAGUCUUGUAGAGGGGGGUAGAAUUCCAGGUGUAGCGGUGAAAUGCGUAGAGAUCUGGAGGAAUACCGGUGGCGAAGGCGGCCCCCUGGACAAAGACUGACGCUCAGGUGCGAAAGCGUGGGGAGCAAACAGGAUUAGAUACCCUGGUAGUCCACGCCGUAAACGAUGUCGAUUUGGAGGUUGUGCCCUUGAGGCGUGGCUUCCGGAGCUAACGCGUUAAAUCGACCGCCUGGGGAGUACGGCCGCAAGGUUAAAACUCAAAUGAAUUGACGGGGGCCCGCACAAGCGGUGGAGCAUGUGGUUUAAUUCGAUGCAACGCGAAGAACCUUACCUGGUCUUGACAUCCACAGAACUUUCCAGAGAUGGAUUGGUGCCUUCGGGAACUGUGAGACAGGUGCUGCAUGGCUGUCGUCAGCUCGUGUUGUGAAAUGUUGGGUUAAGUCCCGCAACGAGCGCAACCCUUAUCCUUUGUUGCCAGCGGUUCGGCCGGGAACUCAAAGGAGACUGCCAGUGAUAAACUGGAGGAAGGUGGGGAUGACGUCAAGUCAUCAUGGCCCUUACGACCAGGGCUACACACGUGCUACAAUGGCAUAUACAAAGAGAAGCGACCUCGCGAGAGCAAGCGGACCUCAUAAAGUAUGUCGUAGUCCGGAUUGGAGUCUGCAACUCGACUCCAUGAAGUCGGAAUCGCUAGUAAUCGUAGAUCAGAAUGCUACGGUGAAUACGUUCCCGGGCCUUGUACACACCGCCCGUCACACCAUGGGAGUGGGUUGCAAAAGAAGUAGGUAGCUUAACCUUC
Molecule: ribosomal RNA, 1394 nt
Filed under: Klebsiella pneumoniae
Lineage: Bacteria; Pseudomonadati; Pseudomonadota; Gammaproteobacteria; Enterobacterales; Enterobacteriaceae
Description: bacterial SSU rRNA
Rfam family: Bacterial small subunit ribosomal RNA
Source: RNAcentral